CUCGCCAUUCUGGUCUGCUUACAAUCGGUUUCCUUAGGUAUGACUGAUGUUGUUUCUGUAUGGCCGGGAGUAGAAAAGAUAACUAUUAAGGAAGUAAUUUUGAUAGAUGACCCUGGAGUUGAUAAUGCUAAUGUUGCAGCUCCAGAACGUACGAGUACUCUGCCUCCAGUAAGUUACAUGUACGGUCAAAUAUCUGUCACAAUCACAGAUAUGUUUUGCAGUGCAUGUGGAAGAAUCCAUUCUGAGCAAAGACGGAUUUUGUGUGAACGGAGAUUCUGCUUACGUUUUAAUAGUUGACGGGCUUCGCCGCCUAGUUUUCGGAGGUAUCUAAAGAACAUGGACAAAACAGCUAGAAAGUAGACUAAAGGAGGCGAAGUUUCUUAUCAAAACUAUUCAAAGUGGAAAUAUAGUGGACAUUUCUUUAAUUUGAAAUCUGAAUCCUGUGUUUGUACCUUUACUUGUGGAAAGCUUAUAAUAUUAUUGUGAUAUCGUUUGAAGUGAAUUUAAGAUAUGUCUUCAAAUACCAAUAGUUACUGACCUUUUUCAAAUGCAUAUAGGAGUUCCAACAAAUAGAUAUUAUAUAAAAGUUUUGUCAAAUGGGACGAUUUUCAAUAACUGGAUAUUGUUUCUUUCAUCUUGAAGAUGACUGGUUUUAACAUUGAUACUUUUUUAUCCUUUUGUGAAAAAAGCCUAAGAAGAAGUUUUUAUUUUUAUCAUAUUUGAAAACAUAACGAAUCUGAAUUCCCCCCCAAAAAGUCAAAAUUCCUCGAUAUUUCCCAUAUCUUUAUCUCAUAUGCUUCACAUUUCGUAGAGAUAUAGAAUCACUUGAUUAUACUUUCUGAAACAUUGAUGCAAAAUAUGAAGAAAGUCAAGAGCAAAAAAUAUUCCUGAUUGUCAUUAUCCGCUCUCAUAUAUGGACUGCUGGUGUACUAUUCACAAUAUCAAAGUAUCGGGGUUGAAACUAGAUUCCAAAUUCUUCCAGAUAUAGUAUAUUUAAAACUCUACAGGGUUGACUUUCACACGUGUUACAUUAUAAACGGUAAUACUAAGAUCUGCAAUUUAGGAACUUCGUUAGUAUUUUCGUCUUCCGGUUAUCUUUCAAAGCACACUUUUCAAUCACAAUGAAAAACAUCUUCUAUGAGUUUUUACCCGGUACUCCGAAUUUGUUUCCUUUUUAAAAAAGAAUAUUCGUCUACUAUAAGCAUUAUUUCGUGAAAAUUGAAUUUACUUACAAAUUUUUUAUGAUGAAUUGCUAAAAUCAAAAAUUUUAUUUAAUUCUAUUUUGUUUUUCUUUACCACUUAUAAAAUCUCUCAAAUUGAUGCUUUUGUAAAAUAUUACAUUAAAAUUAAGUUAAAAAUGCUCGCUACUCGUUUACAACGUAUUAGUUACUUCUACUUGUUUAAUUGUCAAAAGAACAAAAACAAGAAUCAAACAUUCACACUUGAGCAAAAGUUGCAUUAGUCAAUCCACUUUGGAAUACAUGUACUUAACUCCGGAAAACCCUUUCGGAUUAACUACACUAUAAUAUGUGGUAUUUCGACAUGUUUAUAACAUAAUUCUCGUAAAUAUUCUCCAUUUAUUUGCAUAGUUCAAAUCAUUUUGUGCAGUAGUUCUCAAAUACAAAUGGCAUUCUCUUUGGUUUUUGCAAUUUUAUUGACGACAUAUUUUGCACCUGUUAGCACAGACAAAGCUAUAUUCCUCGAGGAAGUAUUAAUUAAAGAGGAGAUUCUAAUCGGUUUCUACAAUAUACCCGCAAGGAUGUCAAACGCUGUCAUUUUAGCAGGGGUUCUACCAAUGUCCGUUGUGAUUACUGACAUGUUUUGUAGAUCAUGCAACUCAAUGCAAUAUGAACGGCGGAUCAAAUGCGAGCGGAAAUUUUGUGUAAACUUUAAUAAAAGAUAACACUUUGAUAGUACUAUGAGAAUUGGCCAUGUGCCAAGUAGUGCAAGGAAUGAUGCUGCUUUAUCUUUCUUUUAUUUAAUUUUGGUGUUCCAUAUAGAGAAAUAAAUAAUUAACAAGC
Molecule: long non-coding RNA, 2021 nt
Organism: Saccostrea echinata
Lineage: Eukaryota; Metazoa; Mollusca; Bivalvia; Ostreida; Ostreidae
Exons: 3
Source: RefSeq, a predicted model, not a curated record